Molecule: non-coding RNA, 72 nt
Organism: Perca fluviatilis (European perch)
Lineage: Eukaryota; Metazoa; Chordata; Actinopteri; Perciformes; Percidae
Source: the annotation of a RefSeq genome assembly
GGGGAUGUAGCUCAGCGGUAGAGCGCAUGCAUCGCAUGUAUGAGGUCCCAGGUUCAAUCCCCGGCAUCUCCA